Molecule: long non-coding RNA, 589 nt
Organism: Heterocephalus glaber (naked mole-rat)
Lineage: Eukaryota; Metazoa; Chordata; Mammalia; Rodentia; Bathyergidae
Source: Ensembl
UGUAUACAGAGAGGCCUAUUUGCCAGAGAACUAUGAGAGGCCUUUACAACCUACAUGUGCAGCCAAGAGCCAGCAGGAUAUUGGACCAGCAGUUAUCCAUCCACGAGGCACUGAAUGUUACAAACAACUUGAAUGAGCUGGGAGGUGGAUUCCUCCCUAGUUGAACUUCCAGGUCAAGACAUAGCCUGGCAACAGCUUGAUUACAGACUGUGGACGAUUUGACUCAAGGCUGAAUGAAGGGAGCAAUUGGUUAUCUUUCUUAUUAAGGAACCAGUACUCAGUGAACUCAGGCUCUGUUCUCAUAACAGGAAAAUGAGAUCAUGGCUCUCAGAAGAUCUGGAGAUUUGUGUGUCUUAAUGCCUGACCCUGGUGACUGCAGGAUGGGUAAUUUUUGCUAGAAAAUACCAUGUCACUCAUGCUGAGGUCUGAGCUCUUCAUUACAUCAAACAACUAAUGGACCAAGGUGUGGGCCCUGGGAAGACUGGGUUUCAGCCAAGUCCUUGUUCUAGACCAUGAUUUUGGUCAACAAACAAAUAAUGGCUAACCCAGUGAUUAGCAGUAUGUGAUCAAUAAAGAUUUUCCAAAUGAC